This is a non-coding RNA of Xylaria sp. FL0064, 123 nucleotides long. The record is from the annotation of a GenBank genome assembly. Lineage: Eukaryota; Fungi; Ascomycota; Sordariomycetes; Xylariales; Xylariaceae.
GGUCUGGUGGUCUAGUGGUAUGAUUCUCGCUUAGGGAACACCCUAAGUCCCAUGGAAUUCCUUGGGAUCGUGGUUCUAACCGCGGCAUGCGAGAGGUCCCGGGUUCAAUCCCCGGCCAGACCC